This 1948-nucleotide ribosomal RNA is filed under the name Legionella pneumophila. RNAcentral's name for it is "partial 23S ribosomal RNA". It matches the Rfam family "Bacterial large subunit ribosomal RNA", at positions 995 to 2925 of the family's 2925-position model. The record is from RNAcentral. Lineage: Bacteria; Pseudomonadati; Pseudomonadota; Gammaproteobacteria; Legionellales; Legionellaceae. RNAcentral also lists the same sequence under 1 other name.
GUGCUAACGUCCGUCGUGGAGAGGGAAACAACCCAGACCGCCAGCUAAGGUCCCCAAGUACUAGUUAAGUGGGAAACGAUGUGGGAAGGCAUAGACAGCCAGGAGGUUGGCUUAGAAGCAGCCACCCUUUAAAGAAAGCGUAAUAGCUCACUGGUCGAGUCGGCCUGCGCGGAAGAUGUAACGGGGCUAAAACUAGUCACCGAAGCUGCGGAUGUGCGCGAAGGCGCACGUGGUAGGGGAGCGUUCUGUAGGCUGAUGAAGGUGCAUUGAGAAGUGUGCUGGAGGUAUCAGAAGUGCGAAUGCUGACAUGAGUAACGAUAAUGUGGGUGAAAAGCCCACACGCCGGAAGUCCCAGGUUUCCUGCACGACGUUAAUCGGAGCAGGGUGAGUCGGCCCCUAAGGCGAGGCUGAAGAGCGUAGUCGAUGGGAACCAGGUUAAUAUUCCUGGACUUUUUAUAAGUGGUGAAGUGGGGACGAAGAAGGCUAGGUGAGCCAGGCGUUGGUUGUCCUGGUACUUGCAUGUAGGGGGGAAGACUUGGCAAAUCCGGUUUUCCAUAACUCUGAGGUGCGAAGUGGUUCUGACCUUUUGGUACAGAGAAGUCAUUGAUGCCCGGCUUCCAGGAAAAGCUGCUAGCCAUAACUUAUAGAGAACCGUACCGCAAACCGACACAGGUGGACAGGUAGAGAAUACUAAGGCGCUUGAGAGAACUCGGGUGAAGGAACUAGGCAAAAUGGUACCGUAACUUCGGGAGAAGGUACGCCCUUUUGGGUGAGGGCAUUUACUGUCUGAGCUUAAGAGGGCCGCAGAGACCAGGUGGCUGCGACUGUUUAUUAAAAACACAGCACUCUGCAAAUUCGUAAGAAGACGUAUAGGGUGUGACGCCUGCCCGGUGCCGGAAGGUUAAUUGAUGGGGUUAUCUUCGGAGAAGCUCUUGAUCGAAGCCCCGGUAAACGGCGGCCGUAACUAUAACGGUCCUAAGGUAGCGAAAUUCCUUGUCGGGUAAGUUCCGACCUGCACGAAUGGCGUAACGAUGGCCACACUGUCUCCACCCGAGACUCAGUGAAAUUGAAAUCGCUGUGAAGAUGCAGUGUACCCGCGGCUAGACGGAAAGACCCCGUGAACCUUUACUAUAGUUUUGCACUGGACUUUGAUGAUGACUGUGUAGGAUAGGUGGGAGGCUGUGAAGUGAGGACGCUAGUUCUCAUGGAGCCGCCCUUGAAAUACCACCCUGUUGUUAUUGAGGUUCUAACUUGGUCCAGUAAUCCUGGAUGAGGACAGUGUAUGAUGGGUAGUUUGACUGGGGCGGUCUCCUCCCAAAGAGUAACGGAGGAGCACAAAGGUACCCUCGGUACGGUCGGACAUCGUACCAAGAGUGUAAAGGCAAAAGGGUGCUUGACUGCGAGAGUGACGGCUCGAGCAGGAACGAAAGUUGGUCUUAGUGAUCCGGUGGUUCUGAAUGGAAGGGCCAUCGCUCAACGGAUAAAAGGUACUCCGGGGAUAACAGGCUGAUACCGCCCAAGAGUUCAUAUCGACGGCGGUGUUUGGCACCUCGAUGUCGGCUCAUCACAUCCUGGGGCUGAAGCAGGUCCCAAGGGUAUGGCUGUUCGCCAUUUAAAGUGGUACGCGAGCUGGGUUUAGAACGUCGUGAGACAGUUCGGUCCCUAUCUGCCGUGGGCGUAGGAAAAUUGAGAGGAGCUGCUCCUAGUACGAGAGGACCGGAGUGGACGAACCUCUGGUGCACCGGUUGUCACGCCAGUGGCAUGGCCGGGUAGCUAAGUUCGGACGGGAUAACCGCUGAAAGCAUCUAAGCGGGAAGCCUCCCUCAAGAUGAGUUUUCCCAUGAAGCCCGUUGAAGACUACGACGUUGAUAGGCAAGGUGUGGAAGCGCAGUAAUGCGUGAAGCUAACUUGUACUAAUUGGCUGAUUGUCUUGACCAUAUAAUCUGAG